GCAUCGGUGGUUCAGUGGUAGAAUGCUCGCCAGCCAUGCGGGCGGCCCGGGUUUGAUUCCUGGCCGAUGCA
Molecule: non-coding RNA, 71 nt
Organism: Cordylochernes scorpioides
Lineage: Eukaryota; Metazoa; Arthropoda; Arachnida; Pseudoscorpiones; Chernetidae
Source: the annotation of a GenBank genome assembly